RNAcentral lists this ribosomal RNA (543 nucleotides) under uncultured bacterium. Its description in RNAcentral is "partial 16S ribosomal RNA". It matches the Rfam family "Bacterial small subunit ribosomal RNA", at positions 355 to 888 of the family's 1533-position model. The record is from RNAcentral.
UGGGGAAUUUUGGACAAUGGGCGAAAGCCUGAUCCAGCAAUGCCGCGUGUGUGAAGAAGGCCUUCGGGUUGUAAAGCACUUUUGUCCGGAAAGAAAUCCUUGGCUCUAAUACAGUCGGGGGAUGACGGUACCGGAAGAAUAAGCACCGGCUAACUACGUGCCAGCAGCCGCGGUAAUACGUAGGGUGCAAGCGUUAAUCGGAAUUACUGGGCGUAAAGCGUGCGCAGGCGGUUUGCUAAGACCGAUGUGAAAUCCCCGGGCUCAACCUGGGAACUGCAUUGGUGACUGGCAGGCUAGAGUAUGGCAGAGGGGGGUAGAAUUCCACGUGUAGCAGUGAAAUGCGUAGAGAUGUGGAGGAAUACCGAUGGCGAAAGGCAGCCCCCUGGGCCAAUACUGACGCUCAUGCACGAAAAGCGUGGGGAGCAAAACAGGAUUAGAUACCCUGGUAGUCCACGCCCUAAAACGAUGUCAACUAGUUNUUGGGGAUUCAUUUCCUAGUAACGUAGCUAACGCGUGAAGUUGACCGCCUGGGGAGUACGGUCG